This 1284-nucleotide long non-coding RNA is filed under the name Sus scrofa (pig). RNAcentral describes it as "lncRNA (ENSSSCG00015009837.1)". The record is from RNAcentral. Lineage: Eukaryota; Metazoa; Chordata; Mammalia; Artiodactyla; Suidae.
UCCUUGUCCUCUGCCACAAUAGAGAGAGCCACCUGUGCACAGCACUGUGCUGUGUACUGACAGAAGCAGGCUAAAGAGAAUGGGAAUUUUGAGUCAUGGUAGCAUUUCCAAAUCACAGCAUCCAGAAGUCUUGUGUAGAUGAGAGAAGCCAGUCACCAGGUAUCACUAGCAGGCAUCUUUCUGAAGUGGGUCUUUUGCCCACAACCUGCAGGGUGCCAGGAACUCAAAUACGGCACUCUUCCAGAAGAAUUUCUGUGAUACAUUACAUAAUCUGCAUUCUGUGAGCUUUUAGAACACAUGAACAUGGCUAUGUGGAGUUUCAUUUUAUCAUGCAGAAGACAUCAAGUGUACCAUUUAAAUGAUUUUUAAAUCUACAGUUCAGAGGCAUCUAAACAUACUGACAUUGUUGUUUGACCCUCACACCAUCCGUCUCCAGAACGUUUCCAUCGUCUCAACAGAAACCCUGUACUCAUUAAACAGUGUCCCCCAUGCCCUCUAUCCCUAGUCCCUGGCUACCACCAUUCUCCCUCUGUCUCUGCACGUCUGACUACUCUAGAUACCUCGUACAUUCAUUGUCCUUCAUGUAUGGUUUAUUUCACGUAGCAUAAUGUGCCCAAGGCGCAGCCAUGUGGUAGCACGUGUCAGAACCUCCUUCCUCUUGAAAGCCUGAAAAACGUUCCAUUGUCUGUAUGGACCACAUGUCCUUUCUCUGUUCACCUGUGGAUGAACACUUGGGUUGCCUCCACUUUUUAGCUCUUGUGAAUAAUGCUGCUAUGAAUAUUGAAGUACAAGUAUCUCAAGUAUCUGUUUGAGGCCCUGCUUUCAGUUCAUUUGGGUGUACACCCAGAAGUGGAACCACAGGGUCAUAUGCUCAUUCCAUGUUUAGCUUUUUGAGGAACCACCACACUACCUUCCACAGCAGCCACAUCACUUUAUAUUCCCACCAGCAAGGUGCAAGUGUUCUGCUUCCUUCCACGCCAGCAGUGGUCCUAUUCCAUUUUGCUUUGGAUUUCUUUUUGAUGUUUUGUUUUUAAUAGUUUCCAUCCUAGUGGGUGUGAAGUAGCAUCUUGUUGCAAGGAUUUGAGUGUGUGUGUGUGUGUGUGUCUGUGUGUCUGUGUGUCUUGCUAAAGAUAGGAAGAGAGUAGCUUCCUCCCUCAGGGCUGGAAAAGACCUCUGUCACUAGAUCCUGAGCCCCUGUGCUCUCAGUAAGGCCAGAACCUCAGUCCCUAGAGAAAGGACAUAACUCUUGAUCUCGGCCCAGAGUCUAUGAGCAACUCAUGAGAG